This 736-nucleotide ribosomal RNA is filed under the name Escherichia coli. RNAcentral describes it as "partial 23S ribosomal RNA". It matches the Rfam family "Bacterial large subunit ribosomal RNA", at positions 418 to 1154 of the family's 2925-position model. The record is from RNAcentral. Lineage: Bacteria; Pseudomonadati; Pseudomonadota; Gammaproteobacteria; Enterobacterales; Enterobacteriaceae.
CGGGACACGUGGUAUCCUGUCUGAAUAUGGGGGGACCAUCCUCCAAGGCUAAAUACUCCUGACUGACCGAUAGUGAACCAGUACCGUGAGGGAAAGGCGAAAAGAACCCCGGCGAGGGGAGUGAAAAAGAACCUGAAACCGUGUACGUACAAGCAGUGGGAGCACGCUUAGGCGUGUGACUGCGUACCUUUUGUAUAAUGGGUCAGCGACUUAUAUUCUGUAGCAAGGUUAACCGAAUAGGGGAGCCGAAGGGAAACCGAGUCUUAACUGGGCGUUAAGUUGCAGGGUAUAGACCCGAAACCCGGUGAUCUAGCCAUGGGCAGGUUGAAGGUUGGGUAACACUAACUGGAGGACCGAACCGACUAAUGUUGAAAAAUUAGCGGAUGACUUGUGGCUGGGGGUGAAAGGCCAAUCAAACCGGGAGAUAGCUGGUUCUCCCCGAAAGCUAUUUAGGUAGCGCCUCGUGAAUUCAUCUCCGGGGGUAGAGCACUGUUUCGGCAAGGGGGUCAUCCCGACUUACCAACCCGAUGCAAACUGCGAAUACCGGAGAAUGUUAUCACGGGAGACACACGGCGGGUGCUAACGUCCGUCGUGAAGAGGGAAACAACCCAGACCGCCAGCUAAGGUCCCAAAGUCAUGGUUAAGUGGGAAACGAUGUGGGAAGGCCCAGACAGCCAGGAUGUUGGCUUAGAAGCAGCCAUCAUUUAAAGAAAGCGUAAUAGCUCACUGGUCGAGU